ACCUUAGAGACCAAUCCCCAAUUACCCAAAAUCCUAAUUCAUUUCCACCUUGACCAGUCGCUUAUUUUCCCUUUUUCUCUCUAUUCUCUCACCUGCUAUAGCCUUCAUCAAUCACAAGACCUUCACAAAUCCAUGCAAGGUCAGCAAAUCAGCCACGAAAUCAUCCAGUUUGCCUCCUAAAACCGCGAAUCCCGCCGGCACACUUCCAUUAUCGUCACUCAAAUUCAAAACGCCCAAAAUCCGAAACCCUAGCUUAAAAUUGAAACUUCAAAAUCGAUUGAUAGCUCCAUCAAAUCGGAGCAUGCAUUUAGUUAUUCUUAGAGUUUCAUCAUGAGUAUUCGAUGUUCAAAGUUCAAACACAUUGACCUCUGGACAAUAAAGCCUUACCGAUGGAUUUAUCCCAUCAACGGUUGCUUCUGAAAUUUAAAUUGCUCAGGUAAAAUCCCUCAUUGAUUUUACCCCGCGUCUUCUAUGAUUUUACUCACUUUUCAUCCGUCAUCCGAUCUUCGACAUUUUCCACUCACGAUUUUGAAUAUGUUGGAACCCUAAUCAUUGAUUGACACUAUAAAUAGAGGCUUUAAUAUCCUUCACCUAUGACAAACCUACCACACCUAACAAACAAAAACACACACUGAGAAUCAUUUCACACACAAUUGAAAUCUUAGGUUUUUUAAAUGAUUUUUCACUUUUUUCCUCGCUUUUCUAUGUCUGAGUCUGUUCAUUGUUCGAUGUUUGAGUUUUUGGUUUCUAAAAGGCAAAACAAAAGACUAUGUUUGGUUUGCUGCUGUGAGGAAGGUUUGUGUCUACUGACCCCCUCCCCUCCUUCUUUUGUUGUUUAAGUUAUAAUCAUUCUUACUAUGUUGUCUUUUCUAUUUGUAUUUUCUUAAUCAUGUAUGCUAUUAGCUUAUCAUUGAAUUUUAUCUUCAUUGUAUGAGUCAACUAUUUUCUCUAAUGAUUUGGAGUUAUGUUAAUGCUAAUCGACUAUCCUUGUGAACUAUGCUUCUCUAAGUUGAACAAUCUGAACUUUGCUAGUCAAUGAGCCUCAAUGGUUCUCUGCACAUGUCUUGGUCUGAGACCUUUCUGAUAUAUUAUUGGGAGUUCAUGUCUCUUGCACCUGUCUUACAUUGAUUAGGACUGCUGCCUGCUGAUUUGUGCCAUGUAUUUGACUUUUGCUUUGAUAAUGUUAGAACUAUAGUAGUUGUGUACACUUAGAGGUUUAAUACAAGUCUGCUAUUAUAGUCACCACCUCAGUUGCUAGUUUCCAUACUAUUCAAGUCUGUCUUGCAAUCGUAUAGCUCCUUAAACACCAAAAAAUGUCUCCCGUUACUCCUCUUGGUCAUGUGACUGCUUAGCUACAGAUAUAGACUCUACUGGAUAAAUAACUUCUAAAAGUGAUUAACCUAAGUCUUAAUGAAUUUCUGAGGUUAAAGGUUGUGGUAACUCCAUAUUUUAUCCUGUCAGUUGCUACCUUGCUCAUUAGUCUAGUUUAAACCAUGUUCUUAACUCUCUUUAAGAGUUUGGUUAAGAGUUAUAAUUAUUUCCUUAUCAUCUCUUGGAUUAGCUAUGUUGUUAACAUGUCCAAAUAUUGAAUUUUAUCAUGGUGCCUAUGUUGUCACACCUGCCUGCAUACGUGAGUUGAUUGAUCUAUUACUGGAACCAUAUUUGUCUAAUACAUGUAAAACCUGCAUGUUCUUAUAGUCUAGACCUCUAUAAUGAGCAUAAUAAUUUGAGCAUAGAUCAUCUACUCCUCUUCUAUAAUCUAUAACCUUUAAGUUCAUUAGGAAAAUCACUUAUAUGUAUUUGAAUAUGCUCUGCCAGGUCUCUACUCCUAGUUGUUUGUUAAUAUACUUCCUGCUUGUCUUUCAUUCAAGAGACAUUCAUGUUAGUGCUCUCAUGUUUCUCCCUUAGAACUGUAUUAUCAUAUAAAGAAGAAGCUGAAUCUUGUUAACAACAUAGAAUUUGGAAUAUAAGUUAACUGUGAUCACUAAUGAACUUAAGGGUAACCCAUGAAUAUUUGUUUGCCUUGUUUGAAUUAAUACCGUACCAUGCUUAGUUGGAUACUUUGGCUCUUAAAAGCCUAAUGUGAAUCUGAAUUAUGAACCUGAUAGGAUAAUUAUCAUGCUACCAAGUUAGGAUUAGAGUAAGACUAACCUUCUUGUCUACAUAAGUAUCUCUGUUGAUGUUGUUCCCCUUUAGAAAUCCUGGACAAGAUUGUUAGUCCACACAUCUAGGAAAAGAUGAAGACUUAACCAAUGUGUGUGAACCUUUGAUCAUUCUAUACAUAGUCUAGUAGUUGUUGAUAUUAUGUGAAUGCAGUUAAGGGUCGUUGCAUGUUUGGACCUAUCAGUAGUAUUAGUAAGGCUAUGAUACAUGUCUGCUCUACCUCCCUAGAUCAUUUAACUUAGUAUUUUAAACUUAAGUUAGUCUACUGGUGACUGCUAUGACCUCUUCUUGUUCACAUUUGUUGUUGGUUCCUUCAAGUGUCCUGAUAAUUAUUUUUGAAUAAUAGUGUAAAUACCUGCAUCAGCCUACAUUCUUAUGUUUGAAUUAAUGUUGAUAAUGUUCAUAUCCUUAAGCUCUGCAGAUAUUAUUUUAUGUAGGUUCUGUAUCCAUAUGUAUUACCUGAAUAUGUAUGUUUAUUGCUGCUGUUGUAGUGGUUACUACAGUGAAUGUCUCAUUUGCAACUAAACUUGUAGGGAUGAGUGAGUGUAAAUGGUUAAGGGUAUUUGUGAGUGUGAUCUAGUUUGUGGUUGGGAUGCCCUCCCUGACACAAGCACUCCUCGGAGUCAUUGGCACCCUUAUGAACUCUGAAAUGCCAGGAAUCCAAAGGGUGUCUUGCCCAUGAAUGAAAUUUUGCCCUAAGCUCCUAAUCAUUGACACUUAUUAAUCUCUUUAGGAUUAAUGCAAAUGAAUAUGGCUUCACUAUGAUCGUUAGUUUUGCUUACUCUUUAACUACUUUAUCUUAUUGGGCCUUACCCUGUCUUUACUGCACCCUUAGUCACAAUAUUUGUUAUCACUUAUUGGGCAUCUUGUACCAUUACUAAUGUCUUUCUUUUCUUUUGAAUGAAUGAUCGAACUGUGCCUGCUGAGAUCUCUAGAACUCAGGCCCAAGUUCCAGCACAAAGUCUGUCGCGUAUUCGAAAUCUUCUAGGCCUAAUUCUCUUUUGUGCUCAAAUUUCGAGUCCAGAUCCCUUCCUUCCCUCACUAUUAGUUAAAUUGAACUUGUUACCUUUGUUCUGUAUAUAUUAUGACACUAACAAUAUUGUUGAAUAUUUUAUUAUGCUUUAAUCAUUUUAGAAAUCUAGCCAAGCCAAGGCCCAUAAGUAAUUAAAAGAAAACCACUGUUAGACUAUCUUAGUUAUAAAGCUUCAACACUUUGGUCAUUUGUUUUCACAAUACAAGAUUUCAUUUUUAAUCACGCUAAUCGUUUCUUUGAAGUUCAAAACAGAUUUGAAAGGCAAGCAACUCUUCUUUUAAGCCGGAAUCGAAAAGGUGAUUUUGAAGUAAGCUUUCUACAAACAAAAAUAUCAAACACGGUUGAAAUCAAGGAUUAUCAAACCUCAACGAGCUUUCAUCGAAAAACAUGGCUACUAAUUGAAAUCAACUUCCAAAGGUAUAUAACGUUUCCUAAUAGUCUUUUAUCCUACUGGAUUUACACAAACAACCAUGCUAUUUCAUAAAGAAAAAAUAUUCAAAACAUAUUCAUAUUUUCAAGCCUUCUCAAUUCUUGUAAACAUUUUUUAAAAGACUUUUACAAAUUAAAUCCAUGAUCUCUUUCCAAAGUACAUAUACUAUUUUCUUUCAAAUGAUGGACUUUAAACAAAGACAUAGAGUAUGCCACAAACCUUUAAAGCGCUAACUAAGUAGAACAUAGGCAUCUAAUUCCCUAAACCUAGUCUAAGUCCUAAGGAGCUACCUCAGGUAGAUUUUAGGGGGUGCCUAACACCUUCCGUUUAAAAGAACAAGAACCCUUACCCAAAUUCCACCGGUUACUAGCUAUAGGAUAAUAAUCUAAUAAAUGAAUAGGUACCUUAGUAUACCUUUAAAUAUUAUGCGGUAACUUUUUUUCAUCGAAAGCAGGAAAAGCACUAGUUGAAUCUUGUUUCGACUCGUGGUAAAUAGGGUGCAACAACACGGCGACUCCACUGGAGAUUUUUAGAUUUAGGUCCUGACCUUAGAAGACUUAGACUAGAUCUAGAAUUUAGGGAUGUUUCCUUAUAUACUGCUUAACUGUGCUUAAUUUUGCAAAUAUGUGCUUACUUGUCUUAUUUGUUUAGCAUGUAGUUAUAUGCCUGUUUUAAUAUUAUUACCGUUAUCCCAACUAUUUGUUAGCACUUUAUAUACACUGGCACCACAUUCUUUCCUAUCGAGUCUUGGUCGUACACUAUCACACACAAUGGCACGCGAGGGUUGUCUUUUACACCCCUUCGAAACUUCUUUCAAAUUCUCUAGUUUCAGAGAAUGACUUUCUCAGGUCAACUGAGAUAACGUCUCGCCGUAUUUAGUCCAACUCCAAGAAUUAUGAAACACUAUUCUCUAGAAAACAUAGGUCAUAUUGCAUAAACCAUAGGUGAGUGGGCCUUGGCAUUGACUUACGAUUAGGAAGGCCACCGUAAUGUCAACGGCCAAUGCACCCAAUGACUUGUCUUUUGUGGAAUGACGAACCAAUCCAGGUGAGAUGCUAAAGAUCUGGAGAAAACACUUACCAAACCCCUUUUUCACAUCUUCAGAAUGGAAAUCAACCACAACAUCCCCGAAAUCAAUAUGUUAAUGGAAGCACCACACAAAUUGAAACAAUGGGGGAUAAAUAUUCGACAAGAUCAUCUAGAUGAAAUCAGAACGCACAUGGGAGCAUUGACCGCUUUAAUGAACAUCCGAGCCAACAAAGUCCUUACCAGAGUGCUGGUGGAAUUAUGUUGUCACUCCCCAACCUCUGGGAGCACGACCGGCGCUCCAACGAGUGAACCUGGUCGAGCAAGCCUAGUAAACCUUUCCUACCCGACUCAUUCAUGAUCCAAAAUGGGAAUGUGUCACCAUUUGUAAAACAGGGGAGAGAUCAGUUAUAUAAAUAUAUAAACGUUACUAGUUCAUUUUUUAUUAUAUACAUUAUGCCAUAGUUAAAUUUCCAAAAUACAACUCGGUCCAAUGACCACCCCAACAUACAUACAUGACCCACAUAAAUAUCUACAGAGCCUCUAAGGGUACAAAAGAGCAACACGACAAUGCCGGCAACAAGGCCCAGGCUAUACCUCAAAAUAUGAAAACUUAUACAAAAUAAGGACUACAUGACCCCAGGAAGAAAUGGGGCUCACCAAGACCGCUGUGAUGAGUGAGAGGGAGAGCACCACUAUCAGCGAUCAGCGCUAUCUGCGAUAGAACCACCUACAUCCNNNNNNNNNNNNNNNNNNNNNNNNNGUCCGAUCUCGGCCCGAUCGGCUAAGCCAUCUCACUUGAGACACAACCUCUUUCAAUUGUUCACUCAAUUCACAACUCUUUCCCAUCUUUCAUUACAUGGUACAAACAACCUCAUUUAUUAAGUAGUUCUUGGCACUUUGGUACAUUUUACAAUUCAAGUCUUUCCCUUUUUAUUCAUUCAAGUAACAUCAUCAUUCAUGUCGAUAAGUACCAUCACAUAAGGCAUUUCACACAUAUGGGAAGGAGCUUGGAAAAUCAUAGUUACGUUCUCAAUUAGCAUGAUGACAUGGUAAACAUCUAAAACAAUUGGGGAACAUGAAUCUUCCAACACAACACACUAAGGCAAACAAUUCUAGUAUGAUCAAGUCGGAACUUACACCAAAUAUUCGGACACCUGGAGUUCGAUUCUAGGAAGAAAAGAGUUAGACAUACAUACCUCAAUUACGCUUCUUUAGACUCUACAAUUAUCCGGAACCCUUAGCAACCUCAAUCUAUUUUUGCAAUAUACAAAUUGAACCCAAAAUUAGGAAAAUGUUCAUAGUUCUAGUUCACUUUUUAUUUUUCCCACUCUUUAUCACAUGCAUGCAAGAUAAACAACCCUCACACCCAUGGACCAUCUUAUUAAUAUCCCAUUAUAGCUAUGUUUGAAAUUAAGAGUUGGGGUGAUGAAGUCUUAACUUUUUGGAUGAAGAAUUUGGUGCUCUACUUGAAUAUUUCCAAGCUUUGAGUGAUGGUUGAAGAUUAAUUGAUGGGAAUUAGGCCCUCCCUCUAGAACCCUCUCUCUCUCACACUAGAAAUACCAAAAAUGAGCUUCAAAAUAGACUAAAUGGGUGUUUUAACGGAAUGAGGGUCAGAUUUUAAAUUAAGAAAAAUGGUGCCCCGACACAGGCCUGCGGUUGCAUAUGACCGCAUAAUGGUUAUGCGGACCGCAAAGUGACCGCAGAAAUGGCCCUCAAGGGCCUGAACUUACGGCCCAGGUAUGCGACCAGUAUGCGGUCCACAUACUCGUUCUGUGGUCGCAUAAUGCACCGCAAAAACCCAAGAAGGGUUAUGCGAUCGAUAUGCAGUCCGAAUAGUGGUUAUGCGGUCGCAUAAUCGACCGCAAAGCUGACCUCAAAUUGGCCAACAUACUGCUUCACUCAUGCGAUCUGCAGAGUGAUUAUGCGGCCGCAUAAUGUGCCACAGAAACGCAUCCUUUUGCGAAACACUUUCCUCUAAGUCCGUGGGGUAUUGUUCAAUCCAAAAAGUCUGAACCCUACUGCUUCCCCAGAUAUUUCUCUUGGCACCACGAAACCCCGAGUUUUUGGUUUAAAUUUUUACGGGUCCUUACAUCCUCCCCAACUUAAGAUCAUUCAUCCUCGAAUGAGGAUCAAGGUUUUCUUAACACAUUUUCAGUUGUACCACGUAACAUCAGCCCCAUAUUUGCCUAACUUCCUAACUUUCUGAAUAUUUUGCUAGAAUUUCCUUUGUAUUUAGGCUUAACCACCUGUCAGAGAGCCCCCAAAACACACCUUAGCAACAUAUAUAGAAUUAAAUGACACAACAUAAUGCAAAAUACCACCAACCGAAGCCUCAUGGGGGGACAUAUAACUAGAAAGUAGUGUCUUUAUAUUAGCCGAACAAGUGAUACAAAAUUUUGGGGGAGGGGGGGGGGGACAACUUUAUAGAGAUAUUACAUGGAUAUUUAAAUAAAUGAGGGUACUUCUUUUUCAUUUCAUUCUCAGCUUCCCAAGUAGCUUCUUCGACUUGCUGGUUUCGCCAUAAUACCUUUACAGAUGCAAUUUCUUUGUUCCUCAACUUCCGGACCUAUCUAUCAAGGAUAGCAACCGGAAUCUCUUCAUAUGACAGUUCUUCACUAACCUCGAUGGUCUCAACCGGCACAAUAGCGGACGGAUCUCCAACUACCUUCUUCAACAUGGACACAUGGAAUACCAGGUACACUAAUGACAUCUCAGGUGAUAGCUCAAGCUUGUAUGCCACCUGACCUAUCCUUUGAAUGAUUCUAUACGGUCCGACAUACCUCGGACUUAAUUUCCCUUUCUUUUCAAACCGCAUGAUCCUCUUCAUGGGGGAUACCUUCAAGAACACCCAAUCAUCUUCCUUGAAUUCUAAGUCUAUACGACGAACAUCCGAAUAGGAUUUUUGACGACUCUGAGCAGUUUUCAACCGCUCUUUUAUGAUCUUAACCUUUUCCAUAGCCUGAUGCACAAUGUCUGGUCCUAUUAGUUCCGGUUCUCCAACCUCGAACAACCCAAUCGGUGAUCUACAUCUUCUACCAUACAAGGCCUCAAAUGGUGCCAUCUAAAUACAGGCAUGGAAGCCGUUGUUAUAAGCAAAUUCUAUGAGCGGAAAAUGAUCAUCCCAGCUACCCUUGAAGUCAAGCACCAACGCGCGCAACAUGUUCUCAAGCGUCUGAAUAGUCUGCUCUGCUUGCCCGUCAGCCUGUGGAUGGAAAGUCGUGCUAAUAUUUACCUGCGUACCCAAACCUUGCUACAAUUUCUUCUAGAAAUUAGCUAUGAAUUGGGCCCCUCAAUCAGAAAUGAUGGAAACUAGAGUGCCAUGAAGCCUGACUAUUUCCUUGAUAUACAAUUGAGCAUAUUGUUCCGCAGUGUCGGUAGACUUAACUGGCAUGAAGUGUGCUGAUUUUGUGAGUCGAUCCACAAUCAUCGAAAUUGAGUCAAACUUACGCGGAGUGCGCGGUAAUCCUACCACAAAAUCCAUAUUGACCAUUUCCCNNNNNNNNNNNNNNNNNNNNGAUAGUUUGAACAUUUUUGCCACAAAAGUCCGCCACACCCCUCUUCAUGUCAUUCCACCAGUAAACUUCCUUGAGAUCAUGAUACAUUUUUGUAGAACCUGGGUGCACAGAAUAUCUAGAAGUAUGAGCUUCUGCCAUGUUUCUUUUCCGAAGACCAUACACGUUUGGAACACAUAGUCAUCCUUGGUACCGUAAUGUACCGUCAUCCAUGCCAAGAGAAAAAGCCGUAGUCUUGUGUUUAUGAAUCCCUUUCUUCAGCUGCACCAACACUGGAUCAUUGUAUUGCUUCUCCUUGACCUCCAUCACAAGCGAUGAUUCUGCCCUAUUCCGCACAAUCACUCCCCCUUCAUUAGAGUCGGCAAGACGAACUCCCAAACUGGCCAACUGGUGAACCUCCCUGGCCAAGGGCCUUUGACAUGCCUCCAAGUGAGCCAAACUACCCAUAGACUUCCGACUAAGAGCAUCCUCCACCACAUUAGUUUUCCCCCGAUGAUACAAAAUGUCGAUGUCAUAAUCUUUGAGCAAUUCGAUCCACCUUCUCUGCCUUAAGUUCAAUUCCUUUUGCUUAAAAAUGUACUGAAGACUCUUGUGGUCUGUGAAUACAUCUACAUGCACCCCAUACAAAUAAUGACGCCAAAGUUUUAAUCCAAAAAACACCGCCGCAUACUCUACGUCAUGAGUUGGAUAGUUCUUUUCAUGAUUCUUAAGUUGCCUUGAAGCAUAUGCUAUAACCUUACCAUGUUGCAUUAAUACACACCCAAGACCGAUCCUUGAAGCAUCGCAAUACACCAUAAACCCCUCGAUACCGUCUGGCAGGGUCAUUACCAGCGCCGAAGUCAAUCUUGAUUUCAAUUCCUGGAAGCUCCUUUCACAAGUAUCAGACCACUGGAACUUAACCUUCUUCUGCGUCAAUUUAGUCAACGGGGAGGCAAGAGUGGAGAACCCCUCCAGAACCUUCUAUAAUACCCGGCUAAACCCAAGAAACUAUGAAUCUAUGUUGGAGUAGUAGGUCUAGGCCAAUCUUUCACCGCUGCAAUCUUUUGAGGAUCAACCUUAAUUCCUUCUCCGGAGACGACAUGACCCGGGAAUGUAACAGAUUCAAGCCAAAAUUCACAUUUCGAGAACUUUGCAUAAAAUUGGUGUUGAUGAAGAGUUUGCAGAACUGCCCUAAGGUGAUCGGCGUGAUUCUCUCGACUUCGUGAAUACACAAGGAUGUCGUCAAUGAAUACUAUCACGAAGGAGUUACGGAACGGCUUAAAGACUCGAUUCAUAAGAUUCAUGAAAGCUGCCUGGGCAUUUGUUAUCCCGAAAGACAUUACCAAAAAUUCAAAGUACCCAUACCGGGUUCUAAAAGCUGUUUUCAGAAUUUCCUGCUCCCUUACCUUCAAUUGAUGGUACCCGGACUGCAAAUCAAUUUUGGAGAAGAACUUAGCACCUUGUAAUUGAUCAAACAAAUCAUCUAUUUUAGGUAAUGGGUAUUUGUUUUUUAUUGUGACUUUGUUGAGUUGCCGGUAAUCAAUACACAUCCGCAGCGAUCCAUCUUUAUUUCUGACAAAGAGAACCGGUGCGCCCCAAGGCGACACACUCAGUCGGAUGAAACCUUUCUCUAGAAAAUCCCCUAGUUGUUCCUUUAGGUCUUUUAAUUCUACCGGCGCCAUUCUAUAAGGUGGAAUGGAUAUAGGUUGCAUGCCUGGCAUCACAUUAAUCCCAAAAUCAAUCUCCCUGUCUAGAGCAAUUCCAGGGAGCUCAUCCAAAAAUACAUCGGGGAAUUCAUUCAAAAUUGAUACAGAUUCAACGGUAGGCACCUCAUCAAUGGUGUCCGCAACUCGGACCAAAUGAUAAAUACACCCCUUCCUGAUCAUCUUCGUGGUCUUAAGGUGAGAAAUAAAACUACCUUUUGGCAUAUCAUUAUUCCCCUCCCACUCAAUAGCUGGCUCGUUAGGAAACUCAAGCCUCAUGAUUCUUGCUCGGCAAUCGAGUUUGGAAAAAUAUGAAUAUAGCCAAUCCAUUCCCAUUAUUAUAUAAAAAUCAAUCAUCCCUAGUUCAAUAAGAUCGGCCAUGGUAUCCCGACCACGCACCGUGACAACACAAUCCCUAUAAACCCAUGUGGCCAUAAUAUACUUGCCAACCGGAGUACAUACAGAGAACGGCUCAUGAAGCUAUUCCGGUUCUAUCCCAAAGCUCGUAGCAACAUAAGAAGUAACAUAGGACAAAGAAGAUCCGGGAUCAAUAAGGGCAUACACAUCAUGAGAUUGAACAGUCAAUAUACCUGUGACGAUAUCUGGGGAAGCCUCUGCACUCUGUCGACCACUUAUAGCAUAUAAUCGGCUGGGUCCUCCCGAACUCUGUGUACCACCCCUAGCUGCACCAUGCCCUAUGGGUGCUGGAGAGCCUUGAGCUGGAGGGGUGCUGAAGAUGUAGAAGCUGUAGGACUGGAUAACUGAGUUGUGCCCCUGCCUGUACCCUAACGGGAUGCACGACACUCCCUCUGAAUAUGACCUCUCAUCCCGCAUCCGUAACAUACUGGCAUGUCCAGGUAGUAGACUCCCGAAUGUAUCCUCCCACACUUAGGGCAUGGGGCCCUCUGCUGCUGCUGGAAUCUCCCUCCUGAUCGGCCCUGAUGGUGGGACCCCCUGCUACCCUAACCGGGCCUAAAGCGACUCCCUUGUUGAUGACCGUGCCCUGAUGGCGGGGCACUAGCUGAAGAUUGAGCAUAAGAUUGGGGCUGCCCUAAUGAUCCUCCCCAAAAAGCUGAUCUCCCACCUCCGAAUGAAUCCCCAAGGUUGCCCGCUGAUCGGGCCCUACUACUACUUUCCCGUUCCAUCCUGAGAAUUAAUUUAUGAGCCUCCGUAGCUUGGGCAAAUGCCACAAUCUUUCCAUAGUUCAUGUCAGAAUUUAGAGCAGCUGUGGCAGCCUCAUUAAUAACCCAAGGGCUAAGGCCCUACACAAAUCGACGCACCCUAGUCUCCAUAGUCAGCAUCAUAUGAGCAGCAUACUUUACAGGUGCACGAACUCCUUGUGAUAUUCCCACACACUCUUACUACCCUGUUUAAGGGUCUCAAACUCCACAGCACGGGCUGCCUUAGUCUCGGCAGGAAAGAAAUGGUCUAUGAAGGCAUCCGCAAAAUCACUCGAUCCCGCCGGAGGGCUCCCCUCCUCACGGGAAUCCUCCCACAUCUCAAACCAGGAAUAUGCCACCCCUUUCAGAAGAUAGGAGGCCAACUCUACUCCCUCUGUCUCUAUAGCACGCAUAACUCGGAGAGUCUUAUGCAUCACAUCAAUGAAAUCUUGAGGGUCUACCCCGGGAUCAGUACCUGUGAACACUGGAGGGUCUAACUGAAGGAACAUGUUUACCCUGGAACCGGAAGAAUCUCCUUGCAAGCUAUAUGAGGUGGGUGCAACAUUUGACCUCUAAGCCCGGGAAGCUACUAACUGAGUUAGCAUCUGAAUAGCUCCCCUAAGAUCCCCAUCGGAAAUACCACGACCAAGAGCUGGGGUUGGAGGUGGAACAGGUAUAUCGGCGGGAGGGAUUGUGGCAUCCUCCGCGGGCGUAGGAACUGGGUUAGUCUGUUCUGGAGUAGACGAAUCAGGCAGUGUGAUAGUAGGGGGAUUAUCCUCACCCGCAUUAUCAAGUAAGGGAUCAACAACAACUCCUAGGGUGGUAUUGGCUUAAUGGACAAUUCUUUCUCUCUUCUUAGUUGCCAUUUACUGAAAGUUAGAACAAUGCACGAGUUAGGGGAAAACAACCUCAUGUUCUGCUCUAUCGCACGAUAUAGAACAACAAUGAAGGGUAUCAUUCUUGAAUGUCCAAGUAGCCCCCUAAUUAUAGAUGUGGUCAACAACAAACCAAUAAGAAGGGCUCUACUAGACACGGCUCCAAGACAUCCUAGGACACAUUAAAACCUUAAGCUCUGAUACCAAGUUUGUCAUGCCCCAACCUCGGGGAGCACGAUCGGUGCUCUACCGAGUGAACCCGGUCAAGCAAGCCUAGUAAACCUUUCCUACCCAACUCAUUCAUGGUCCAAAAUAGGGGAAAGAUCAGUUAUAUAAAUAUAUAAACGUUGCUAGUUCAUUUUUCAUUAUAUACAUUAUGCCAUAGUUAAGUUUUCAAAAUACAACUCGGUCCAACGACCACCACAACAUACAUACAUGACCCAUAUAAACGUCUACGGAGCCUCUAAGGGUACAAAAGAGCAACAUGACAAUGCCGGCAACAAGGUCCCGGCUAUACCUCAAAAUAUGAAAGCUUAUACAAACGAAAGACUGCAUGACCCCAGGAAAAAUGGGAAUUACCAAGACUGCUUUGAUGAGUGAGAGGGAGAGCACCACUAUCUGCUAUAUGUGAUGGAACCACCUACAUCCAUUCAAAGAUGUAGCGCCCUCGACAAAAGGGGCGUUAGUACUGUCGAAUAGUACUAGUAUGUAAGGCAAACACUAAUCUUAGUAGAAUGAACAGUGAAACAAAGAGAAGGCAGUCAUAACAACCAAUAAGUACUUCACAGAAAUACAAAGAAUCACCAAGUAAGGAUCACAUAAUUUCCAACUCAAUCUUUCCAUCUUUUUAGGUUAAUAAUCUUUAGUGCCAAAGCCACAACUCACAAUGCCACCGUGUUUUUACACGGAGUCCGGUCUCGGCCCAACCGGCUAAGCCAUCUCAAGUGAGACAUAUCCAUAUCCACAUUGUAAAUCAAUGUUCCAACACAAAUUCCACCAUGUGUACAACAUGGCGUCCUAUCUCAGCCCGAUCGGCUAAGCCAUCUCACUUGAGACAUAACCUCUUUCAAUUGUUCACUCAAUUCACAACUCUUUCCCAUCUUUUGUUACAUGGUACAAACAGCCUCAUUUAUUAAGUAGUUAUUGGCACUUUGGAACAUUUUACAAUUCAAGUCUUUCCCUUUUUAUUCGUUCAAGUAACAUCAUCAUUCAUGUCGAUAAGAACCAUCACAUAAGGAAUUUUACACAUAAGGGAAGGAGCUUGGAAAAUCAUAGUUACGUUCUCAAUUAGCAUGAUGACAUGGUAAACAUCUAAAACAAUUAGGGAACAUGAAUCUUCCAACACAACACAUUAAGGCAAACAAUUCUAGUAUGAUCAAGUCGGAACUUACACCAAAUAUUCGGACACCAGGAGGUCGAUUCUAGGAAGAAAAGAGUUAGCCAUACAUACCUCAAUUGCGCUUCUUUAGACUCUAGAAUUAUCCGGAACUCUUAGCAACCUCAAUCUAUUUUUGCAAUAUACAAAUUGAACCCAAAAUUAGAAAAAUGUUCAUAGUUCUAGUUCACUUUUUAUUUUUCCCACACUCUUUAUCACAUGCAUGCAAGAUAAACAACCCUCACACCCAUGAACCAUCUUAUUAAUACCCCAUUAUAGCUAUAUUUGAAAUUAAGAGUUGGGGUGAUGAAAUCUUACCUUUUUGGAUGAAGAAUUUGGUACUCUACUUGAAUAUUUCCAAGAUUUAAGUGAUGGUUGAAGAUUAAUUGAUGGGACUUAGGCCCUCUCUCUAGAACCCUCUCUCUCUCACACUAGAAAUACCAGAAAUGAGCUUCAAAAUAGACUAAAUGGUGUUUUAACGGAAUGGGGGUCGGAUUUUAAAUUAAGAAAAAUGGUUCCCCGACACAGUUAUGCGGUCGCAUAUGCGACUGCAUAAUGGUUAUGCGGUCCACAAACUGACCGCAGAAAUGGCCCUCAGGGGCCUGAACUUACGGCCCAGGUAUGCGACCAGUAUGCGGUCUGCAUACUUGUUCUGCGGUCGCAUAAUGCACCGCAGAGCUCCCUCCGCAAAAACCCAAGAAGGGUUAUGCGAUCGAUAUGCGGUCCGCAUAGUGGUUAUGCAGUCGCAUAAUCGACCGCAAAGCUGACCUCAAAUUGGCCAACAUACUGCUUCACUCUGCGGCCAUUAUGCGGUCCGUAGAGUGAUUAUGCGGCCGCAAAAUGGGCCGCAGAAACGCGUCCUUUUGCGAAACAUUUUCCUCUAAGUCCGUGGGGUACUGUUCAAUAUAAAAAGUCUGAACCGCGACGAAGAAUUUCUACUAUAAUAACGCAGGAAUCUCUCUUGGCUCCACGAAACCCUGAGUUUUUGGUUUAAAUUUUUACGGGUCCUUACAUAUGUGAUCCAACUAAAGUGGUGUUCAAGUUUGUCGAUUGUGAAUUGGUGCCAAUACUGGAUGAUGUUACUAGCUUCAUUGAGCUGUCGUUUGCCAGGAGAAAGCUGAUACUGCUAGUUACCAUGCCUAGCCACAUGUUCCCCGAUGCUUUGGGUCUGACACGUAAUCAGAAUCUGAGGAUCAUUAAAGAUGGAUGGGCAAUCUUGGACCAACUGUUCGACAGGUUCGGGCAUCGAGAAAGUUACGAGUGGUAAAUAGGGGUGUUUCAAUUUGAUCAAGCAACCUGGGAGAGUCUCCAUCCUUUGACCUUCUCUUUGGCAUUGUUAGGAUUACUAGUCUUCUUACAAAGGAAAGGGCGAAUCAAUAUCAACUUGUUGCCCGUGGCCUUGGCAACUUUUGGGGGAAAUCUCCAUGUCACCCUGGUCCCUAUGAUAUUAUCAAAAAUACUUUGAGUCUGACCGCAUGUUUCAGAGGGUAUGACUACUUCAAAGGCUACAACUUCCUACUCUAGAUAUGGGCCGUAGAACACCUUUUUCAAAGAGGGGCCAUUAUCGACUAUAUUUAGGUGUCUGUAACAUGAUUAGGAGUCACAAUGAGAGAAUGAGACACUAGGUCUCACUGCACGGGCAAGGUAAAUGGAGAGACAUACUGACUCACCUAAGUGGAGAAUGGAUAAACUAGAAGUUCUUGUGCUUAAGUGGCAGGGAAAUUUUGAGGACCCCCGGAAAAUACUUCAUCGAGCUGGUGGGACUUGAAGGAAUUCAGCUGUAUGCACCUCUACGAGUUCUCAGGCAAUUUGGUCUGAUCCAGGAUGUACCCCUCUGGUCGAGGACAACUCUUUAUGAAGACGACUACAACGGUCAAAUUGCAAUCCUAAAGAGUGAGGAGACUUCAUGACAAGUGGAAUGACUUAAUCAUGAUGCGGAUGGGUCUGAAUUUAUGAUAUACUCCAAAAUACUUCGUAUAGAUCAAUGAGGAGGAUCAGCUGGCUCGACCGAGCAUAGAGGGAGUGGCCGGGCUAGAAGAUGCAGCAACAGCCUUGCAAAUAUAUCACGAGAUUUUGCCUCAUUACCUCAUUACCACUGCCAUGCAUCGGCAAGUGGUCCCAGGGUUAGUUGAUUACAUGUUGCCACCUCCAAAGGAUGACGACCGAGUGAUCGAGUAUAUACAGAUUAAAUCAGAGUUAGAACCAGAACAGGAUCCUGAAGAAUAGCAUGGGUACAACAACGAUGAGGAAGAAGAAGAAUUUGUAGAAGACCCCAAGGAGGAGCCUGAAGGAGAGGACUUGGGAGAUGACUCCAGGGAUGAUUAUUAGUGGCUGGUUGAUUUCCCUCUAUCUUACACCCUUUUAUCUUGUACCCUUUUCAUUUACCUAAGGGCAACCCUGUGAGCCCAUGUAACUUUGUGGAUGUUGGAAAACAAUGUUGUAACCUUCGCUCCCACCUAAUGUAAUCCAAAUAUUAUUAAUGAACAACCAAAGUUUGCUCUGGAUCUAAACGUGUCAAAAUCUAAUUGUUCGUCGAACAUUCGCGACAUAGGCAUACCUCCUGCAAAGAGACAUCCCUAUGCAUCUUAGGAAACGCGCUUAUCUUGAAUGCAUAAACUAACUACUCUAUGUGCUUAUAUUUGUUCAAUUGCUGAAACUAACUUCUGCUCUUCUUUCCUUUUAUUUUUCGCAUUACUUUAUUACUAUUCCUCGAAAAGAGAGGUCAGUUUGUGUUAUCACGAAAAGCUGGCUGAACCACCAUAAAACCUGAUAUCAAAAGGGAAGAUGUCUACAACUGAUGACCCGGCCGAAAACCCUCUAGUAAUAGCUGACAACCUAGGGAAAUAGGGGGAAACGAAUUAUACUCGCAACUGAUGGCGCAUCUGGCUGUAACGACGAUUCCGCAACCACCCCGCUUCCCUUCAUUGGACUCAAUCCCUGAUCACUUCCCUUCAACCAUAUGACAAACAAACAGUACCCCAACCACAGUCACUACAAAUCCCGCAACCCAAGUUGUACCACAUGUAACCCCCGCAAAUUCGCCAAAUUCUCCUAUACAUACCCCUUAUGUCCCGAAUCACAUCCAGACACUAGAAAACCCACCAGUCACUACCAACUCAGUUUAUACCCAUCCCCACAACAAUUUCACUUUUGCCAAAAAUCAGGCCCAGCACAUACCUGCAGCACACACCGCUACACACGAUAGGUAUGUUCCAUAUGUAUAUGCCACCUCAGAACCUACCUUUAUAUCCCGUCACGGUCAGAGUGCCAUAUGAGAUCGAUCAAUAUUCUAAGAUGGUGAGAGAAGCAAAGUACAAAGAAAAAGAGUUAUCAGAGCAGUUACGAGUGUUGAGAAAGCAAAUGAAGAAUCUCCAGGUUGCUCAAGGGAGCGAGAGCCUCGAUUAUGAAGCCUUGUGUAUACACCCUGAUGUUCACAUGCCCGUACGGUACAAACUUUCAAAGUUCGACAUCUUUGAUAGAAUGGGUGCUCCCCAUGCGCACUUGAGGGCCUACUGCGACAAGCUGGUCGGGGUAGCAUAAAAUGAAAAGCUGAGAAUGAAAUAAUAUAUAAGUAGUCUGACAGGGGAUGUGCUCACUUGGUGCACCUGCCCGCGAGAGACUGGAGAGGAUGGCAAGACAUGGCGUAGGACUUUAUGAACCAUUUUUGGUUUAACACCGAAAUCACUCCAAACAUUUUCGCUCUAAUGAAUUUGCAUAAGAAACCAUCAGAGUCAUUUCAAGAGUACGCCCGGCGCUAGAGGUCGUUCGCUGCUAGGACCCAAACCCCGUUAGAUGGUAAUGAGCUGAUCAAAUAUUUCAUCAGAGCUCAAGAAGGAAUUUACUUUGAAAAUAUUGACCCUCCUAUGCACCCCGACCACGCAAAAAGUUUGAAGAAAGAAAUCCCAGAAACUCCCAGAAAAAAAUCCCAGAAACUAUACCUAGUGGAAGGGAGAAUUCUCGACCAACCUUCCAAAUACUUCAUGCCACCAAGCGAUGUGCCUAUCAGGUGUUCCUAGGCAUGGUACUGAGGACCGCUUCAGGCAGAAGAAUGAGAUUGAGUCGCUGAUCAAGACUGGAGCCAUCCAAUGUAUUACGGCUCCACCAAAUGUGAAUCAUAACCCACUGCUGAAGAUUAUGAUCUGAAGGGGACCAUCGUCACAAUUGGGAAUGUCGAGGCUGCAAGAGUUCCACCCUGAAAGACUAUGUUGAUUAUUGUACAGUUGAAACCUCCGGUGAUGGUCCAGACGUACCAACAACAGUCCACCACCACCGUCAGGAAUGAGGAGAAUAGAAAAUACAAGACAGUUAUUUGGACGUACUAGUAGAAAGGAAAUUGUAAAAUGACAGCUUCUGUAGUUCCUCAUGGGAUGACCAGGUCAGGAUGGUGCUAUGCUCCAGAAAAGAUAAACUGAGGAAAUCCAUGUAGAGAAUAAAAUUAGAGGAGGAAUAUAACGGAUGCCGAGGCGGCAUAAUUUUGGAGGAAGAUACGAGUUAAAGAAUAUUUCUUGGAGGAAUUGUUGAAGAAAACCCAUGCACACAUAUCGAUUAUGGAUCUACUGAUGAGUUUCGAUAGUCAUAAAGAUGCCUUGAUGAAGGUGUUAAGUGGAGUAAGUGUGGCGAGCAACACCACUAGCGAGGCAUUAGCGGAAACAAUUGAAUUGAUGGUCGAAGAAAAUAUGAUAUCCUUUCAAAGAGACAAACUUCCUGUAGAAUGUGUGGAUUAUAACAGAGCCCUACACAUCACAGUCAAGUGCGGGGAUAAAGUGGUGUCUCGAGAGCUUGUUUACGGAGGAUUCAGAGUGGAUAUGUCACGCCCCAAACUUGGGGAGGCGUGACCGGCACCGAGUGCCGUACUGGCCCGAGCGAACCACUUUGUAACUCUUUUUUUUUCUCAUAACUAUCAUGGGCCAACAUGGUCAUAACUCAUAAUGUACAAUUGUAAGUGGAAAACACUAUAUCACAGAACCAUUUUUCUUGACAUCAAAGCCUCUAAGAUUAUUUGACAUCAAAUGGGACAGGGUACCGGCCUACCGAUAAGUCUUUAGCAAAACUCUGAUACGAUGACUCACAGACUCGGCUGCACUCCGAAUGAGGUAGAGUCUUGCCAAUCCUUUGCUGAAUGCCAAUCUCGUCUACUAUAAGGUUUCAUCAAACUGAUUAUCUAUACUUGCAGGCAUGAAUGCAGCGUCCCUAACAAAAUGACAUCAGUACGAAUAAUGCACCGAGUAUGUAAGGCAUGUAAAUCAGUAUAUAAAGGACAUGGGAGAAACAUGGAAUAAAGGACUUAUCCUGUAAGUCUGGAUAGCUCUGUAAAUUAUGAAAUAUUUAUAAUGUCAUGCAUAUGUAUAUAAAUAUCAUGUAAUGCAUAGGUCUAUACGUACAUAACAUCAUCAAGCCUCUGAGGGCAUCCCAUCAUAUCAUCUCGGCCACUGUGGGCAAAUUAUCAACGUAUAGCAGCUGAUCAGGUGGUGGUGCGUAUAUAACGCCGUAACCCUUUCCCAUAUCCCAUAUACAUAUAAUAUACAUAUAUACAUGUAUACAAUGCCAUCUGGUCAUGGGUCAAUGUAAAUGAAUGCAAUGCAUGAGAAGUACAUCAAUAAAAUCUUUCAGAGUGUCAUAAGACCAUUAUGCCUUUGAUUAAUAUCAUGAAGUAAACUUUAUCAACUUACGUAUUUUUUGAGACCCAUGAACAGACGAUAGAAUAAUAUGACACAUGGAGAACCAGGAAUAUAAGUAUCUCUAGCAUUUCUAUGAAUAGAGUCAAUUAUGGAAAUUUUGCACUUGCUCGUUUCGUUUGUAUCGUAUGGAUCAUGCCAAAAAGAAAGAAGGGAUAGCCUUAACAUACCUGGAUUAGGGAAAUAUCCGUAGUUGUGACAAAAUAUUUUCAUGUUUCAUCCUCAGACAUCAGAGAACUAAAACUAAGUGUUUGCUUGGCGGCUUUGCUUCUACACACAGAUCUCUUAAGUUUGACAUAAUACCGGGAAAAGUUAACCUCUGACGCUAAACAAAUACAUGUGUAGAAAGCCGAAGACAACUAUCCCUGGUUUUCAAAGGACACAUUUUUCCUUAAGAAUAUGGAAGAAUAAGAAGUAAUGUUCACCAGUAAUACAAUACUAAUGUUUAAUAUCUAAGUUUCAACUCGAGUUCCGAUGAUAAAAAGGAAACAAAGCAGUGGAUCAAGUUUGAGUAUGUACAUGUACAAACAAGGCGGAAAGAUAGUUUAGAGAUAUAUCCAAAAGAGCAAAAGUUUCAUGUAAAAAGAGUUGGAAAAUAAUGUACGCAUUUCUUUCCCAAAUAAUAGAAUCAAUGGUGUCUUGUGAUUAUCAUGUUAGGUUGCCACAUAAUCCAAAGUGACUAAGAGUCACUUGUUUGGAAAGUGGCUUGCUUCCACAUAAUCCCCUUGUUGGGGAAUUUAAACUUUAUCCAAUAAUCAAUUAGGUAGUAUUCUGCUACCCGGUAAUUACCCGCAUAAUUAAGAAUUGUCUCAAAUUACUUAAAAUACUACUCACUUUUAACACACUUUAUAUAACUUGCUAUCAUGGUCAUGUGGUACCAUAUAAAAUAAAUACAUCCACUAUUAUUUCAUUAAAACAUCCAUGUAAAAAUAUAUAUAUUUUCUCAACUUCUAAUUUUCCUAAUCUCAUAUAAAGAGUAAAAAUUUUCGUAUGCUUAAUUCUUAACAUGGUAAAAAGAUAACCUUCUUUUCUUGUGAGAAAAUAAUUUUUAUCUUUACAAUAAUAAAAAUCUCAUAAACUUUCUCAUAUUAUGUGAAUAAUUUAAAACAUAUUCGAAAGUAGUAAUAUUAAUAACUAUAUAAAAUCAUAUUUUUCAAACCAUUUUUUCUUUACAAAAAAAAAGUUCCACUAAAAAUACCAUAUCAAAUAUAUAUAUAACGAUAUCAAGGUUGGUAAACUUACGGGUUAUAACAGAAUAUGUACCCACUCUCUACUCUACGAUAGUUGAGUAUCCAUUUGAGAGAGGUGAAGGAAAGCCAUGUAAGAGUGAGAGAUUUCGAUGGGUCUCAAAAAGACGUCAUUGGAUAGAUCUACUCAGCCCUGCAAAUUGGACCAGUCGAGUUUCCAAUACUGUUUCAAGUAAUGGACAUUUUGUAUUCAUGUUACCUGUUGCUAGGAAGGCCCUGGAUACACAUGGCAGGGGCAGUUCCGUCCAUUCUCCAUCAGUGUAUGAAGUUCGAGUGGGAUUGCCAAGAGGUUGUAAUUGACGGUGAAUGGAGCCAGACAGCUUACCUACAACAUGCAGUUCCCUUUAUGGAAUGAUUGAAUGGGAUAACCUUUUAUGCGGUCGAGAUCAUGCAGACCAUGAAGAUAGAGAAGAAUGAGCAGAAUCUGGGUAUGCAAUCACCAUACAGAUCAAAUAAGGCAAUUAGGGAGAUGAUAAAGUACGGGUACCGACCAGGGACCGGGCUAGGAGACCGGUCAAAUGGGAUAAUAGAGCCGAUUGAGCUGAAAGGGAAGAAAGGCACUGCUGGCUUAGGGUACCAACCUCUAACUGGAAAGACUUACACCGGUAACUUUAGGAAGAAGGGUUUUGUGCCAGAGCGUGUUUCCGAAGCACCGUGUGGCACCUGAAGCACUGACUAAAUCGGCCUGUGAGGAUGACCUCUACCAAAUGAACCUUUACCUCCAGAUGAGGCACCACUGAAACCACCAAAAUGACGAGGCCUCUUCUCAGAUACCGCCUCUCUACCCUGACCACGAAUCCUCUCAAUCUACCUAGCAAUCUCUAUAACCCGCUAAAAAGAAAUAUCAUCCCCGGUCUCCUUGGCCAUCUGUAGCAUGAUACCAAAAGUAAGGCCAUCUAUGAAUCUCCUCACCCUCCCCUUCAUACUAGGGAUCAAGAUAAGUGCAAGGCAAGAUAGGUCCACAAAUCUGGUCUCGUACUAGUUAACAGUCAUGCUACCCUGAUGUAGAUGCUCGAACUGGCUAUGGUACCCCUCUCUCAAAGCAAAAGGAAUGAACUUCUCCAAGAAUAGUUGUGAGAACUAAUCCCAAGUGAUUGGAAGUGAACCUGUUGGUCUGCCUCGAACAUAAUCCUGCCACCAUCUCUUGGCGGAACAGGUCAUCUGAAACACUAUGAAGUCGACUCCAUUGGACUCCACAAUAACCAUGUUGCGCAACUCCUCAUGGAAACGGUCCAAAUAAUCUUGUGGGUCCUUAGAAGGUGUACCACCAAAAUGAAUUGGAAAGAGCUUGGUGAACUUAUAAAACCUCUUCAAUCUCUUAGAAGACAUCGCAGGCCUCUCCCCGUACUGAGUAGCAGUAGCGGGCUGAACUACUCCAACUGCCGGAACCGCCAGAGUCUGAUAUAUGGAGCCAUCUGCUCCAGAGUGUGAGUAGCGGGAGUCUGGGCUCCUCUCACAAUUGAGAGACAGUCAGUGCCAUAGGAAAUACUCCAUCCUGGGCCACACUCUCCAUAAGGCCCACUAAGCAGACUAGGGCGUCUGAAGUACGAGAGUGGCUAUGAAUCCCUCUGGGACCUGAGCGGGUCCAACUGGUGCGGUCUGGACAGGUAUCUUCUCUUCCUGCGCUCCGACCCCUAACCCUGGUAGUGGGUGCAACCUGGGGCAUCGGCUCCUGCCCAGCUGUGUAUGUUGUGCACGUCCUAACGAUCUGCGAGGCAAAACGAAUAUAAUGAUUCAAACUUCAAUGAUAAAAUAAAAUUGCACAAUAGAGAAAGAAAGAAGUGAAAUUUUCCUAAAGACCUAUAGCCUCUAGAAGAUAAGUAUAGACAUCUCCGCACCAAUCCUCUAGACUCUACUAAGCUUUCUCAUGACUCACGAGACCUAGGCAACCUAGUACUCUGAUACCAACUCAUCACGAAUCAAAAUUACAACCAUGGGGUCGUGAUGGUGCCUAACAUCCACUUGCUAGGCAAGCCAACGUUAGAUUAUUACUUAACCAAUUUUAAAAAAAUAUAACAAAGUAAUGAUAAUUAACAACUGACAAACUCGGAAAUGAAUGAAGUAUUUAUAUAAAUAACAUGGUAUUAAAUCUACUCCCAGAAUUCAAUCCACAUAGGAGCUAUAAUGCUCGUACUCACUAAGCACAUGUGCGUCAACAUCAAGAUUGAUAGAGUACACUAAUGUAACUGUCGGGAGAUGGGUAGGUAUAAUGUAAUAUGGAAAAAGGCAAGCACAGCUAAAGUGCAAUAAGCAAAUCAACACGAUGAGAGGCAUCUCGCCUAUAUAUCGCCACAAGGCCUAAACGGGAUUAUAACAUGCGUGCGAAUAAUCAAGUAGCCUUACAACAUGUCAUAGCAUAAGGGCGAAACAUAUAACAUAGACCAUGGCAUCAAUAACAUCCAUUAUGCCCGAUGAUUUACCCACGGUAGCAAUUGCAUAAGAAUAAGCAAACCCGAUAUGAUACAGAAUACACAUUCGUAUUAGGCUUAAAAAAAGCCCCCAAACCAUUUCUGAUCAUUCCCAAACAGGUAUACAACCUUCCAAAGAUCCAUAGCAACCUACCCAUAACACAUACCCUCUGCUAUCCAGUUCUUAGAAUAUCUUCACAAUCCAUAACCAAGGAAUAGUCUGCCUACGAGAAAAUCCAGUCUUUAAACCUCAUGAAUACCGGAAUCUUCAUAUCUGAUCCCAACUCCACUAAUCGAAUGGCUGAUAUAUCGCUCAUACUCCAUCAUCUUAAGGAAAAUACUAUCAUAGAUCUUCUGCGCCAUGUUGCAAAACCUGAACCUCAGCAGCCCAAAACUAGGAGAUCACCGUAAAACUAGUUAAGCAUCUGCAAGUCAAAAUGCAAUGCGUCUCUCAAAAUGCACACCCUCCUCAAGCGAUACCAAAUAGUGCCAGCAUUCUUUUAAACAUCUGAACUUGUACGUGCCCUCUAGAACUCAUACAUUCCCUUCAAAACAAAACUGCAACCUUGUGCUCGCUACUUGCAAACCCACAUGGCGCACCGCAACUAUCAUGCUAACUCAUGAAAAUACGAAAACCUCAUAAUCAACUCUGAACCACAAGCAGAAUGAACACCUCAUCUACUAAGGACCUUGAAUUUACUCGAUCCAUGAGGACAUCUCCACACGCAACACACCUUCUAUAACCAUAGAAGACAUCAACCCAGAAACCAAUCCACACGCAACACACCUUCAAAAUCGAUUAACACACAAUCAAGUCAUCAACGUUGAUCUCCCUCCAACUCAACCAAGUCCCGCAGAUUGUAAACCCAAAAGUAACUCAAUCCAAAAUGCCCGCUCUAAAGGGACAUUAUGAAAAUUCAAAGUUGUUUCUUGCAUCUCUCUAAUACUACUAUGUGGAGUCAAUAAUGAUGUAGAAGUACCACAAAUCCAGACACCAUCCACUACUAAUCUCAAGCCCUAGCCAUACACAUGUUCGAAAAUCCUCAAAUGCUACAUAUGAAUCUGGGACUCAUUAGAAACUCUUCUACAGUCAUUAACCUAGCUCUAAUUCUCUAUUACAUAACCAAUACGCACCGAAUAACUAGCACUUCACCAGCACAUGAAUAUCCCAAGAAGUAACCAAGGUAUUCCUUUUCCUUGCACACUUAGUACAUAAACUAAUAUAAUACAUUACUCUGCAAUACGCGUUGAUAGUAGACUCCCCCACUAGGCUCAAAGCCAUAGAACACAUCACAUGUAACCCAUAGUGCCCUUCCUUCAUAUCUUCCCCUAAACCACGUUUUCAAUCAGCUGAAUACUUCAUAAACUUAUGUAACUUUAAUCACAAAACACUCCAAGGACUCUGCCAAUUUCAUACCCAUCCUCGUGACAGUCAGCCAAGUUCCUCAAAUUCUCCAAAAUGAUAAGAUAAGCACCCUAGAUAGGGCUACAUCAGGGAUCGGCUCUUAGCCCGUUUUUGUUUGCCUUAGCGUUAGAUGUGCUGACGCUUUACAUACAAGGGGAGGUGCCAUGGUGUAUGCUAUUUGCCUAUGACAUAGUCUUGAUUUACAAUACAUGAGGCAGAGUUAGUGCUAAGUUGGAAGUUUGGAGACAAACGCUGGAGUCUAAAGGUUUCAAGUUGAGUAGGUCAAAAACUGAGUACUUUGAGUGCAGUUUCAGUGAUAGGGGAUGCAUGAAGAAGAGGUAGAAGUGAGGAUUGGUACUCAGGUCAUCCCUAAAAGAGAUAGUUUCAAGUAUCUUGGGAUUUUUAUUCAAAGCAACAAGGAGAUUGACGAGGAUGUUACUCAUCGUAUUGUGUGAUACGAAUGUGCCACAUAGAAUUAAGGGAAAGUUCUAUAAAGUGGUGGUUAGACCGACUAUGUUGUAUAGAGCUGAGUGUUGGCCCGUCAAGAAGUCCCAUGUCCAAAAGAUGAAAGUAGUUGAAAUGAGGAUAUUGAGAUAGAUGUAUGGGCAUACUAGGAAAGAAAUGAUUAGGAAUGUCGUUAUUAGUGACAAGGUAGGAGUGAUAUAUGUGGAGGACAAGUUGCGGGAAUUGAUACUUAGAUGGUUCGGGCAUGUGAAGAGGAGAGACACGGAUGCUCCGGUGAGGAGGUGUGAGAGGUUGUCCAUGGCGAGUUUGAGAAAGGGAAGGGGUAGGCCUAAGAAGUAUUAGGGUGAGGUAAUUAUGCAGGACAUGUCAUUGCUUCAGCUUACCGAGGAUAUGACCCAUGAUAGGAAAGUGUGGAGGUCGAAGACUAGGGUUGUCGAUUCACACGUAGUAGUGUGUUCUUCCUAGGUCGACCAGUAGUACUAGGACUAUUUUGUGAUUUCCAAUUUAUGGUUCUUUAUUAUGCAUGCUAUGGCAUUCAUGUCUGUAACCACGUUACAUUGUUGCUAAUAUUCUUUGCUACUUGGUUGCUUUAUCUUCAUUGUUCGUUGAGCCAAGGGUCUAUCGGAAAGAGCUUCUCUAUCUCUAUGAGGUAUGGGUAAGGUCUACGUACACACUUCCCUCCCCAGACCCCAUUUAUGGGAUCAAACUUGGUUUGUUGUUAUUGUUGAUAAGAUAAGCACCCCACUGAAUAGAAGCCUCAUACGAAACACACGCCUCAAAUCUUCACGCAGGAGAUAACCUACCGGCUAGACACAAAUCAAUAUCUUCUCAUGACCCCACCAUGGUCACAACAACUAGGCAACUGAUUACUAAUCCUCCCUGGUCUACUCUCGUAGAGAAGAUACAAGAAUUCGCUUCAUCCAAAAAAUGAACUACUGGGUGUAACGACCCGGCCAACCGUUUUGCGUAUUUUAGCCCAUGUACCCUAUUUAUUUCCUCCUAUAUGUUGUAUUAUGGUUAUGUGCUUUGUCGGGGGUGUUUGGUUUUUGUUUUGGGUGAGUUUGGGAAUUAAAUGGGACUUAAGUUGGAUGUAGUUUGACUUUUGUGUAGACGACUCCGGAAUGGAGUUUUGACAGUUCCAAUAGCUGCGUAUGGUGAUUUUGGACUUAGGAGCAUAUCCGGAUGUGGAUUUGGUGGUCCGUAGGUCGUUUUGGCUUGAAUUGGCAAAAGUUAGAAAGUUGAAGGUUUGGAAGGUUGCAAAGUUUGACCGGGUGUGAUUCAGAUUGACUCCGGAACCAAUUUGGAGUUUAUGCACUACUGAAGCACUGCUAUGUCUGGUGCCACCUGCACACUUUGGGCCGCAGGUGUUGCACCAUAGAAGCGGCCUUCGAGCCUCAGAAGCAAAGUUGGCCUUGCCCAGCUGGGACCGCAGAUGCGGAGGGGUCAUCGCAGAAGCAGAAUUUAGGAAGGCCUUGGGCAGGACUACAGGUGCGGUCAAUUUCACCAGAGAAGCGGGCUCGUAGGUUCGAGCAAGUGGUCCGCAUAAGCAGAUUCUCAAGACUUAAGCUGGAACCGCACCUGCGAUGGUUUUUCCGCGGGUGCGGCGUCGCAGAUGCGAUCCUUAGCCCGCAGAUGCGAAAUUGCUGGGGCACAAAAGGCGUCUUUGAGGGUUUGAAUUUCAUUUUCAUUUUUUGGACCUAGAAAGCUCGGUUUGUGGAGAUGUUUUGAGGGUUCUUCAAGGAAAUCAUUGGGAUAAGUGAUUCUAACUCGGUUUUGACUAUAUUACAUGAAUCCAUUAUUAUUUUCAUCAUUUAAAUAGUGAUUUGAGUUGAAAAUUUGGGGAAAAUUCUGAAAACUUCCUAGGCUAAAUUUUGGGGAUUUGGAAGGCGAUUUGAGGUAGUAUUUGAGUAAAUCUUGUGUGGUUGGACUCGGUAUCGAAUGGUUGUUCAAAUUUCUUAUUUUUUGUCAGGUUCUGAGAUGCGGGGCCGGGUUGACCUUUUGAGUUGAAUUUUUAUUUCACUUUAAAGAUCGUAAAUUUAUUGUUCUGAAUAGUUUCCUAUAGUGUAUAUUUAUGGUAUGAAGUUGUUUUGGCUAGAUUCGAGCCAUUAGGAUUUGGAGAAUCGAGGGAAAGGCUUACUAGUGAAUUGAGUUAGCAUGUUUUGAGGUAAGUGACUUGUCUAACUUUGCGUCGGGUAGUUACCCCUUAGGAUUGGUGUUGGUUUGUGUUAAUUGUGAUAUGUGAAAGCCGUGUACGCAAGGUAAAGAGUGUGUACACGGGCUAAAUGUGGAAAUUGACCGGUUUUAGCUAUGUAGAUUCCUAUCACACCUUAAUUGAGUUGCCUUAACAUGUUAUAUUCAUUGUUAUUAGUCUAUCUUCACAUGCCCUACUUGUCUUAUCUCUUACUUGUUAAUUGUCUUUACAUUUUUAGUUGAAGUAUUGUUUCCUCUAUUCCUUAUUCAUUAUUUAACCGUUAAGUUCUUCACUUGAAGUUGUUAUUCUUGGAAUAUCUUGUUGUUGAAAUUGGUAUAGAGUUAUAAUGGCCGUGAUUUACAUUGAGGCAAAGUUGUAAAGUUGUGAAAUACUAUUCUUGUUGAGUUAUUCACCUUCAGUUAUUAUUGUUGAGACUCUUGUGCAUAUUGUGAUUUGAGCCAUGGGCUAUUUGUUGUGAAAACACUAUUGUUGUUGGUUUCUUUGCAAGUUGUAAUAUUGGGUAUAUGAUGUGCAAUUUGUGAUAUGUUAUGAUAUUGAUACGCAUGCGGUGAGAUAAGGUGGGCUUGAUACGUGUGUUGCUAGUAGAGGAACUACUUGAAGCCAUGCAGUGUGAUAAGGUGUACUAAAAUGCGGGACGCUAUUUUAGGAAAAAUAAUUUUCAAAACUAAAUGCAUGGCUCCCACGGGGAUAUAAGAAAAGAUUGUGAAUUAUUUUGUGAUUUGAAACUAUGAGGAGGUACCUCAGUAGUGACUCUUGUUGAUACUUUUCUAUUACCUAACUUGUGUUUUGGUUGCUUUAUUUCCUUGGCAUAAUAUUCCUUGUUUUCUUCUGUGAUGCAUUAUUUGUCUUAGUUCAGUGUAGCCAAUCUUGGUAUAUUGCUUAAUUGUUUCAUUUCCAUUGUUAUUAUUAUUACUCUCUUAAAUACUCAUUUAGUUUCUUAUUUAUUCUAGUAGGGCCUUGACCUGACCUCAUCACUACUCUAUCGAGGUUAGGCUUGGCACUUACUAGGUACCGUGCUGGUGUACUCAUACUACGCUUCUGAACAUCUUUUUGUGCAGAUCCAGGUACCUCCUACCAGUCCAGGCACUAGUGAGAUGAGCUCAGCUUCAGAGACUUCAAGGUAUACCUAUCGAUGUCCGCGGGCCUCGGAGGCCCCCUCUAUCUAGUCUACUUCAAUAUUCUUUUCCUUCAUAGACAUUGUUGUAUAGGGAUGACCAGUACUUAUUCGUAGAGCUUGUGACUUGUUAUCACCAGAUUUUGGAAAGUUUGUUUAUGUUGAGUUGCAGAGUUUUCUUUAUUAUAAUUAUUGAGUAUUUGAG
This 27990-nucleotide long non-coding RNA is filed under the name Nicotiana tabacum (common tobacco). RNAcentral describes it as "long non-coding RNA (NTAB_LNC012614)". The record is from RNAcentral. Lineage: Eukaryota; Viridiplantae; Streptophyta; Magnoliopsida; Solanales; Solanaceae.